CCUGAAGUGCAUUAUUCAGCUGCUGAAGUGAUACUACAAAAUGAGUAUCAUUUCAUAUUAAAAUGCAUGCAAAGCUAAAGGGAAGGAAGAAUUAUGUGCUACAUAAUAGGAAAAGAAGACUAAAAUACAACAGCGAAACAAUUGAGAAGGCCUCAGAAAAUGGGAAAGGGAAAACAGCAUCAAUGAUGAGUGGACUGAACCUGCCAAAGGUGACAGAAACUAAAAGCUCAGUGUUUCUGUUUGUGACCCGCUGUGAAGUUGGGUUCUCUAAGGAAGAGACAAAAAUGAGCACACUUGCAUUGGAAUGACAGCACUUUGGUUUUGAUCCAUCAGAGGAAACUGGCAUCACGUCACAGAGCUGUGUCAUCCCCAGGUGUAGUCAGAAGACUUCAGCCUGUCAAGCCCAUUUUUUGGCUUUGAGACAGGAACAGCACUCAGGAAAAUCUGUCCGCUGCAGGAAACAUUCCUACCUGUCAGUCGUAGCCUGUCCUCACAGUCGUGCAGUGGAUUCCCAGGGUUGUGUUCAGAGAAUGAAAGAAGCUGCCCUGACACAUCACAGAAAGCACGUUUCUUUCUAAAUCAAAGAGUUCUUCCAAUAGCAGUGGCCUUCUGGAAGCACGAUGCUGGAAUGCUGGAUUUCUGCUGUGUGAGUGUGAUUGGGGAGCAUCCACCAACAGCAUCCCAUGUUCUUGAGUUGGAGGGCUUCACCUCUAGUGCUGGAAGGAAGCUGUCUCUCUUUCCAAAUUCGUUGUCAGAUGACUUCUGGAGUGCCUGGGGUUAAAGGAGAAGAGGAAGAGCACCAAGACACCUGAGCGAGACUGUGAUGAGGAUGAAGGGUCAAUUAGUGGCUGUUGAGCAAAUCAUAGAGCUGCUGCAUCCUUGUAAUCCUAUAGACUUGGACCCUCUCUGCCAAUCCUGGCAGUGCUCUCCGGAAUAGAUGUAAGUAGAGCAGCACAGCACAGUGCAGCUCUGCUGAUCCGUGUCCUGCAGCUCCUGGCAGUGCACCUGGCUGCCCAGGAACAGAUGUGAUUUCCACUGCACUUCAUGAAACAGAGUUGGAGCCUUUCUGGGUGCUGUGGCUCCAGUCCAAGCAGAGAAAGCCCAGCCUGCUGCUGGCACUGAGCUCCUGGGAGUCGGACUGGAACACGAGGAGAGGAUUUCCCAGUAUUUCCAGACGUGACCUUCAGAGCCAUACAGAUGCUAGUAUUAAACUCAUUACAGGCGAAGCCCUCCCGGUGACCUCGCACGGAUAACUCUCCCCCUGCUCUUUAUCUGGCUUUAUUUCCGAGACAGAUAAACGAUGCUAACAACCCCUCUCCAGCCAAAAGGGAAAAAGAGCACGGCCCCCUCCCCUGACUCCAACAGAACCCAGCAAGGAAACCUCGAGCUGCAUCUCCACAACCGGGAGGAGCCCCGCGUUG
Long non-coding RNA from Centrocercus urophasianus (Greater sage-grouse), 1421 nucleotides. RefSeq lists it as uncharacterized. The transcript has 7 exons. NCBI's taxonomy places the organism in Eukaryota, Metazoa, Chordata, Aves, Galliformes, Phasianidae. The record is from RefSeq and is a predicted model, not a curated record.